UGCGGGAUUGUGUAAGGGUAGCACGAAUGACUCUGGAUCAUUUUGUGAGGGUUCGAAUCCUUCUCCCGCAGCCA
Molecule: transfer RNA, 74 nt
Filed under: Clostridium sp.
Lineage: Bacteria; Bacillati; Bacillota; Clostridia; Eubacteriales; Clostridiaceae
Also listed under: 3 other names
Description: tRNA-Gln
Rfam family: tRNA
About the family: Transfer RNA (tRNA) molecules are approximately 80 nucleotides in length. Their secondary structure includes four short double-helical elements and three loops (D, anti-codon, and T loops).
Source: RNAcentral